RNAcentral lists this ribosomal RNA (484 nucleotides) under uncultured bacterium. RNAcentral describes it as "partial 16S ribosomal RNA". It matches the Rfam family "Bacterial small subunit ribosomal RNA", at positions 29 to 507 of the family's 1533-position model. The record is from RNAcentral.
AUUGAACGCUGGCGGCAUGCUUUACACAUGCAAGUCGAACGGCAGCGCGGGCUUCGGCCUGGCGGCGAGUGGCGAACGGGUGAGUAAUACAUCGGAACGUGCCCAGUAGUGGGGGAUAGCUCGGCGAAAGCCGGAUUAAUACCGCAUACGACCUGAGGGUGAAAGCGGGGGAUCUUCGGACCUCGCGCUAUUGGAGCGGCCGAUGGCAGAUUAGCUAGUUGGUGGGGUAAAGGCCUACCAAGGCGACGAUCUGUAGCUGGUCUGAGAGGACGACCAGCCACACUGGGACUGAGACACGGCCCAGACUCCUACGGGAGACAGCAGUGGGGAAUUUUGGACAAUGGGCGAAAGCCUGAUCCAGCAAUGCCGCGUGUGUGAUGAAGGCCUUCGGGUUGUAAAGCACUUUUGGCGGGAACGAAAAGGACUGUGCCAAUACCACGGUUCGAUGACGGUACCCGCAGAAUAAGCACCGGCUAACUACGUG